GUCACUCUUUGAUCCUUCUCACUGUAAAAUUUUGUUCUGGGUUUCUUUUUUUUGGUUUUUGAGUUUUUAUUAUUUGCGCUACUGCUUGAUUCUUUUUUUCGUAGAAAAUAAAUAAAUGAAUAAAAGAAGUCUUUCCUUAAACCUGGUAUUUAAUUUUCUCAUUGCAUCUUCCUCUUAUUUUUCGGAUGCGAAUUUUGUGAUUCAGUUUGGUCCGCUUCCUGUUCUGGACGAAAUUCUGAAUUUUUCAUGCGCAAAUUGGUUUAUUUGAUUGUGGGGUUUGAAGGUAUGGAUGCAAUCUGGGUUAUCUGUUCUGUUUGUGGUUAUAAUCAGUAGGGUUUGAGGGGUUUUUGGUUUUGGUAGGAAUUUUGAAUUUUUUUUGGUGUUGGGUAUGUGGAGCUGGGUAAAUUGGAUUGUGAUUUGAUAUGAUAUGGUGUUUCUUCCCUUUCUUCUUUCUGUCACUUCUGUUAUUUGGAUCUGAUUUUGCUAUAGUUUUUUAAUUCCUGCUUUGAUCUGUGUACCGAUUUUUCUCUUCCAUUGCAUGCUUUGAUGAUCUGAUGUUGCUUAGCCAAUUCCAUAAUAUUCUAACAGUUCGAUCUGUUUGGCAUCUUAACAAUUCAAUUGAGUUUGACUAGGGAAAAGUAUCCAUAUAACACUAUAAUGUGCAAUAAGCCAUUCUCUUGGACAAUCUGUUUGGAGCCUUGACAUUAAACUACAUUACGAAUAAUCGAAGAUAUAGUUUGGAUUGAUGUACUUGAUCUCAUUAUUUUGGUGACAAAUUAUCCUCUGUUGUGUUGGUACAAUUGCGAUAGCGAAUGUUAGAAGCAAGGUUGAUUCUUGACAUGUAUUUGGGAUAUAGAUCUGCUAACUAACUCCAUUAAGAAACUGGAAUUCUCUUGUUUUGUAUUUGCAUUGCAUUCUGAUUCAUCUCAUAUUAUCUUCCCCAAUAAUUUGGUUCUAGUUCAUGCAAACGAGUAGUUUUGCUAUUUGACUUAAGCCAUGCAAUAGAGUUUGCAGUUUUUCCUUUGCGUUUAUGUGCUUCAAAUGGUACCACAUCCACCAUUUCUGCUUUCAUAUAAUUUCAUGUUGAAGUUUUUGAAUAAUUUCUUAGAAAGUAUUAUAUUUAUAUUUUGCAGUGAAUUUAAUUUGAGGGUGUGAUCUAAAGUAGAGCAUCUCUUCUGUAAUUGCAGGUUGCUAAAGAUCCUUCUGGCAAA
RNAcentral lists this unclassified non-coding RNA (1211 nucleotides) under Hevea brasiliensis (rubber tree). Lineage: Eukaryota; Viridiplantae; Streptophyta; Magnoliopsida; Malpighiales; Euphorbiaceae. The record is from RNAcentral.